CAGCCGCCACGGGAAUACGUAGGGUGCAAGCGUUAAUCGGAAUUACUGGGCGUAAAGCGUGCGCAGGCGGUUAUAUAAGACAGAUGUGAAAUCCCCGGGCUCAACCUGGGAACUGCAUUUGUGACUGUAUAGCUAGAGUACGGCAGAGGGGGAUGGAAUUCCGCGUGUAGCAGUGAAAUGCGUAGAUAUGCGGAGGAACACCGAUGGCGAAGGCAAUCCCCUGGGCCUGUACUGACGCUCAUGCACGAAAGCGUGGGGAGCAAACAGGAUUAGAGACCCCUGUAGUCCCUGUCUCUUAUAA
RNAcentral lists this ribosomal RNA (301 nucleotides) under uncultured bacterium. Its description in RNAcentral is "partial 16S ribosomal RNA". It matches the Rfam family "Bacterial small subunit ribosomal RNA", at positions 509 to 809 of the family's 1533-position model. The record is from RNAcentral.